Unclassified non-coding RNA from Macaca fascicularis (crab-eating macaque), 148 nucleotides. It matches the Rfam family "Metazoan signal recognition particle RNA". Rfam says of the family: The signal recognition particle (SRP) is a universally conserved ribonucleoprotein. It is involved in the co-translational targeting of proteins to membranes. Lineage: Eukaryota; Metazoa; Chordata; Mammalia; Primates; Cercopithecidae. The record is from Ensembl.
GCUAGGCAUGGUGAAGCACGCCUGUAAUCCCAGCUACUCGAGAGGCUGAGGCAGGAGGAUUGCUUGAGCCUGGGAGUUCAGAGCUGUAGUGAGCUGUGAUGGCACCACUUCACCCCAGCCUGGACAACAGAGCAAGACCCUGUCUCAC